Oreochromis aureus is the source of this 372-nucleotide long non-coding RNA. The record is from Ensembl. NCBI's taxonomy places the organism in Eukaryota, Metazoa, Chordata, Actinopteri, Cichliformes, Cichlidae.
CCAACAACCGGAUUUGGUGUGUGGUAGUAACAGGCAAGUGAGCCACAAGUACAGGACUCUGGCGAGAAAAAGCCCCAGAACUUCCUGGACUAUAACAAGUGCAUAGGGGCUGUGGAUCAUCUGGACCAGGCACUACUGUUCAUAGAGCAGGUUGGCGGAACCCUUAUCACCCCGACCAUGGUGAAGAGAAGCCACCUGCCUAGAACACCGUUUGCAGCCAGCCUGGUCUUACAGGCCCAGGGCAAAGAGCAACAGCAGGAGGAGGAGGAGCGUUCCAAAAAGCUGAAGCAAGGCACAUCGUGCAAACAGCGCAGAAGGAUCCUAACCAACUGCUGCAAAUGUGGUGCCCCUCUCUGAAAAUCCAUCUGAAAA